RNAcentral lists this ribosomal RNA (496 nucleotides) under uncultured bacterium. RNAcentral describes it as "partial 16S ribosomal RNA". It matches the Rfam family "Bacterial small subunit ribosomal RNA", at positions 29 to 507 of the family's 1533-position model. The record is from RNAcentral.
AUGAACGCUGGCGGCGUGCCUAAUACAUGCAAGUCGAGCGAACAGACGAGGAGCUUGCUCCUCUGACGUUAGCGGCGGACGGGUGAGUAACACGUGGAUAACCUACCUAUAAGACUGGGAUAACUUCGGGAAACCGGAGCUAAUACCGGAUAAUAUAUUGAACCGCAUGGUUCAAUAGUGAAAGACGGUUUUGCUGUCACUUAUAGAUGGAUCCGCGCCGCAUUAGCUAGUUGGUAAGGUAACGGCUUACCAAGGCAACGAUGCGUAGCCGACCUGAGAGGGUGAUCGCCCACACUGGAACUGAGACACGGUCCAGACUCCUACGAGAGGCAGCAGUAGGGAAUCUUCCGCAAAGGGCGAAAGCUUGACGGAGCAACGCCGCGUGAGUGAUGAAGGUCUUCGGAUCGUAAAACUCUGUUAUUAGGGAAGAACAAAUGUGUAAGUAACUAUGCACGUCUUGACGGUACCUAAUCAGAAAGCCACGGCUAACUACGUG